GAUGAAGAACGCAGCGAAAUGCGAUAAGUAAUGUGAAUUGCAGAAUUCAGUGAAUCAUCGAAUCUUUGAACGCACAUUGCGCCCCCUGGUAUUCCGGGGGGCAUGCCUGUCCGAGCGUCAUUACAACCCUCAAGCUCAGCUUGGUGUUGGGCCCCGCCGCCCCGGCGGGCCCUAAAGUCAGUGGCGGUGCCGUCCGGCUCCGAGCGUAGUAAUUCUUCUCGCUCUGGAGGUCCGGUCGUGUGCUCGCCAACAACCCCCAAUUUUUUUCAGGUUGACCUCGGAUCAGGUAGGGAUACCCGCUGAACUUAAGCAUAUCAAUAAGCGGAGGA
Molecule: unclassified non-coding RNA, 329 nt
Filed under: soil metagenome
Description: partial contains 5.8S ribosomal RNA, internal transcribed spacer 2, and large subunit ribosomal RNA
Rfam family: 5.8S ribosomal RNA (bases 1-120)
Source: RNAcentral